This 223-nucleotide ribosomal RNA is filed under the name uncultured bacterium. Its description in RNAcentral is "partial 16S ribosomal RNA". It matches the Rfam family "Bacterial small subunit ribosomal RNA", at positions 127 to 334 of the family's 1533-position model. The record is from RNAcentral.
CGCCCUUCAGAGGGGGACAACAGUUGGAAACGACUGCUAAUACCGCAUACGAUCUGACCUCGGCAUCGAGGAUGGAUGAAAGGUGGCCUCUAUUUAUAAGCCAUCACUGAAGGAGGGGAUUGCGUCUGAUUAGCUAGUUGGAGGGGUAACGGCCCACCAAGGCGAUGAUCAGUAGCCGGUCUGAGAGGAUGAACGGCCACAUUGGGACUGAGACACGGCCCAG